This 348-nucleotide long non-coding RNA is filed under the name Bos taurus (domestic cattle). Its description in RNAcentral is "long non-coding RNA NONBTAT000683". The record is from RNAcentral. Lineage: Eukaryota; Metazoa; Chordata; Mammalia; Artiodactyla; Bovidae.
CUGAUCCUUAAUAUCUGGUAUUUUGCUUGUAAGUCUACUGAUAAGGGAUUAUUGGAAGCCAGUCAUACAAUUUGAAAGUAAACUCCAGUCUCUCUGUAGGCCAAGGACUCACUGCAAAACAUUUUUGCAAGUAUGAAUGCUUAGAUUUGAUUCAUGAACAAUACAUUUUAGACUGGUUUAGAAUUAUUGAUAACUUAUUUUAAAACAAAGGAAAAACAACUGAGCACGAGUUUGCUGUCUUUAGAGCAGUUUGUGAAAAUACGGUAUAAAGAUGUUUUCAUUUUCUUGUUCUUUUAAAUAUUAUUGUACAGAGCUGUUAUUAAUGCCUUCUUUUUAAAUCUUAAAAAU